UACGUAGGGCGCAAGCGUUGUCCGGAAUUAUUGGGCGUAAAGAGCUCGUAGGCGGCUUGUCACGUCGAUUGUGAAAGCCCGAGGCUUAACCUCGGGUCUGCAGUCGAUACGGGCUAGCUAGAGUGUGGUAGGGGAGAUCGGAAUUCCUGGUGUAGCGGUGAAAUGCGCAGAUAUCAGGAAGAACACCCGUGGCGAAGGCGGCUCUCUGGGACGUGACUGACGCUGAGACGCGAAAGCGUGGGGAGCGAACAGG
Molecule: ribosomal RNA, 253 nt
Filed under: uncultured bacterium
Lineage: Bacteria
Description: partial 16S ribosomal RNA
Rfam family: Bacterial small subunit ribosomal RNA
Source: RNAcentral